RNAcentral lists this ribosomal RNA (735 nucleotides) under Triticum aestivum (bread wheat). Its description in RNAcentral is "partial small subunit ribosomal RNA". Lineage: Eukaryota; Viridiplantae; Streptophyta; Magnoliopsida; Poales; Poaceae. The record is from RNAcentral.
AUGCUAACCGAGUAUUUUGAAGCAAACAAGAAGUAUGAGUUGCCCCGGGGAAUUUUAUAUAAGGAUUUUCCGGCAUCUUUUAUUUGGAUCUCGGGUGGAAAGUAUUGGAAAAGGAGGGAUGAACGCACACAGAUCGGGAGAAUUGUGUCUGCUCAUCCAGCCGAAGGGGAGAGGUAUUAUCUUAGAGUGCUUCUAAACCAUGUCACAGGUGCUACAUCUUUCCAAGACCUAAGGACAGUGGAUGGUAUUGUUUUCCCGACAUUUCGUGAAGCUGCUGAAAGGAGGGGUCUUAUCGAGUCAGAUAAUACUAUUGACGAGUGUCUUAAUGAAGCUGAGGUUUUUCAGAUGCCAUCUUCCCUUCGAAGGCUAUUUGCCACUAUAUUGGUCUUUUGUGAGCCUAGCAAUGUGUGUGGUCUAUGGGACAGGCACUUGGAAGCUAUGACAGAAGACUAUCGACUAAACCACAUGUCCCCUCAUGCAGUUGAGCAGAUGGCUUUGUUAGAUAUAAAAAGUAUGCUUGAAUCGAUGGGGAAGGACAUAUCAUCAUUCCCUCUUCCAGAAAUUGAUGAGUCGUAUGAUGGCUCAAAUAACGAGGCUAGGGAGAUCACAGAGGAGUCGACGAUAGGGGUGAACCCAGAACACCUUGGCUUUUCAUCUUUCCUAAACCCAGAACAGAGAUAUGCAUAUGAUGAGGUACUUGCAACAAUCAAUAGUGGCCAAGGAGGUGUGUUCUUU